GAUGAACGCUAGCGAUAGGCUUAACACAUGCAAGUCGAGGGGUAACGUGUUGGAAGCUUGCUUCCGAUGACGACGACCGGCGGAUGGGUGCGUAACGCGUAUGCAACUUGCCUCACAGUGGAGAAUAACCCGGAGAAAUCCGGACUAAUACUCCAUACACUCUUAAGUACGCCUGUACAUGAGAGGAAAGAUUUAUCGCUGUGAGAUAGGCAUGCGUCCUAUUAGGUAGUUGGUGAGGUAACGGCUCACCAAGCCGACGAUAGGUAGGGGUGCUGAGAGGAAGACCCCCCACAUGGGGACGGAGCCCCGGCCCAAACUCCUAGGGGGGGAAGCAGGGGGGAAUAUUGGUAAAUGGAGGAAACUCGGAACCAGCCAAGCCGGGUGAAGGAAGAAUGUCCUAGGGUUUGAAAACUUCUUUGGCGGGGGGGUAAGGACUUCCACGUGAUGGGGGUUUGAAAGUGGCCCGAAAAUAAGGAUCGGCUAACUCCGU
This 490-nucleotide ribosomal RNA is filed under the name uncultured bacterium. RNAcentral describes it as "partial 16S ribosomal RNA". It matches the Rfam family "Bacterial small subunit ribosomal RNA", at positions 28 to 506 of the family's 1533-position model. The record is from RNAcentral.